Molecule: long non-coding RNA, 228 nt
Filed under: Lathyrus oleraceus (garden pea)
Lineage: Eukaryota; Viridiplantae; Streptophyta; Magnoliopsida; Fabales; Fabaceae
Description: Pisum sativum (pea) long non-coding RNA (PSAT_LNC035046)
Source: RNAcentral
AACGACACACUGAAUAACGGGGGAUUGAUUACUAAUCCCUUUUAUCCGUCAAUUGCCUUUUUACGGAGGUCUUUAGCACUGGUGCUUCUUUGGAGGUCUUUAGGCACAAAAAUAAACACACAAAAACAUUGCCUCCUAUCGAGGUCUUCCAGCUAAGAAAACGGUAAAAUGCGGGAAAAAUAAAAGGGAUCAGAGAUCUACCACAUGGAUAAAGAUCCGAAGUAACAA